This 269-nucleotide ribosomal RNA is filed under the name uncultured Planctomycetales bacterium. RNAcentral describes it as "partial 16S ribosomal RNA". It matches the Rfam family "Bacterial small subunit ribosomal RNA", at positions 565 to 832 of the family's 1533-position model. The record is from RNAcentral. Lineage: Bacteria; Pseudomonadati; Planctomycetota; Planctomycetia; Planctomycetales.
GAGCACGUAGGUGGGUUUGUAAGUCAGAUGUGAGAGCCUUCUGUUCAACGGAAGAAUUGCAUCUGAAACUGCGAGUCUUGAGUGUAGGAGGGGAGGAUGGAACUUCUGGUGGAGCGGAGAAAUGCGUAGAUAUCAGAAGGAACUCCGGCGGCGAAAGCGAUUCUCUGACCUAUUACUGACACUCAGUGUGCGAAAGCUAGGGGAGCAAACGGGAUUAGAUACCCCGGUAGUCCUAGCCGUAAACGAUGGGCACUAAGUAGAGGGGUUUU